Molecule: long non-coding RNA, 3114 nt
Filed under: Setaria italica (foxtail millet)
Lineage: Eukaryota; Viridiplantae; Streptophyta; Magnoliopsida; Poales; Poaceae
Description: long non-coding RNA (SITA_LNC002730)
Source: RNAcentral
CAACAGCUUACCACCACUUGGCCAAUUAACAAACUUGCAAGAGCUAGUUAUAGGUGUAAUGGAUAGCAUUACGACAAUUGAUGGGGAUUUCUGUGGCGGUGAAAGAGCCUUCCCUGAAUUGAGGAAAUUUUGCUUAUGCCGUAUGGGAAACCUCAAGUUGUGGGAGACAAUGUACUCCUAUGACAUGGGUAGUGUGAAGAAAUUCAUGUUCCCAAACCUUGUGGAAUUGUUAAUACGUGAUUGCCCAAAUUUAAGAUUGAAACCAUGCCCACCUAGAGCUAAGAGAUGGGAAAUUGAGAGCAGCGAUAAUGUAUUAUCAUCAUGGGGAGAGAAUCUGUCAUGCAACUCAUUAGACAUAAUUGGAGACCUCUCGUUUAUCAAAUCAUUGUUGCUAGAAGAUAAUACUCAGCCAGAACAUCCGAAAUGGUUGGGUGGCCUCAGCUCUAUCCGGAAAAUGGACAUCACAAGGUGUAAAGAGCUGUCUGAUUUGCCUGGGAGCAUGCGAUAUCUGACAUCCCUCCAGGAGCUUUCUUUGAUAGAUUGUCCAAGAAUAAAAGUGCUGCCAGAAUGGUUGGGUGAUCUUACUGCUCUGAAGAAACUUCAGAUCCGGUAUUGUAGGGGUAUCAACUCUUUGCCACAGAGCAUACAGAAGCUUACCAAGCUUAAAGGACUAGCUAUUUACCACUGCCUUGAAUUGGUAGAGUGGUGUAAUUUAGAGAAGAACAAGAACAUGCUGGCUCACAUAAAAGUAAAGGUAUAUGUCCCGCCAUGCUAUCUGCCAUGUCCUACUUAUCUUGACAGUAGCCAAAUUAAACUACACGGUGAUGCAUUUUCAUCUGCAACAUCCCUACAAGUCUUGGAUUUAAGCAAGUGCCACAUAUACAAGUUGCCAGCUUGCAUCAGUGAAUUGGUGAAAUUGAGGUAUCUCAAUGCCCCCAAGAUUCAAAGUCAAACAAUCCCGUAUUGUAUCACCAAGCUCUCGAAACUAAUUUACCUCAACCUAAGUUGGUCCAGGAUGUUAGCAUUGCCUGAGUCAAUUGGUGACUUGAGAUGUUUGAUGCAUCUUGACAUCUCGAAUUGUGAAUUUAUAGAUAACCUCCCAAAAUCAUUUGUGAAUCUCAAAAGGUUGGAAUAUCUGGAUUUAUCAAACAACAGUCAGCUUAGAGGUCUAUCAAAAGCUUUGGGUGGCCUAACCAACAUCCAAUACUUGAAUUUAUCAAUGCAAAUAGGUUAUGUAUUGGGUCAAUUUCUUGAGGGGCUGCCAGAGGUCAUUGGUAAUCUAAUUGGACUCCGUUAUUUAGGUCUAUCACAUACCACACGAUCCAUCUUCUGGAAUUCGAGCUCAGAUGAACUAUUCAGUUUCAUUGACCGUAUAUGUACCCUUUCUAAUCUGCAGCAUCUGGACUUGUCUAAUAAUGAUAGUAUAGUAAGUGUUCCUGAGAGUAUUGGCAACCUCAGGAAUCUGCAUACACUGGACCUCUCUUGCUGUUCACAUCUAGUGAGGCUUCCAGAAUGUUUGGUUAGAAUGGAUAAUGUGAAGAUCUUGAAUGUCACCGGGUGCCGCAAACUGGAAAAAUCUGCACUGUCCCGAUCAAAGAUUUUUGACUUGUUGCCACAUUUCGUGGUCCAAGCUGAUGAAGGUGAAUCUAGCAGCAACAUCGGUCUUCUACAGUACGCAAAUCCUAAUGAGUUGCACAUAACUUGCCUUGAUAAUGUAAAGUCUGCAGAAGAGGUCCAGAGUAUAAAGCUGAUAGAAAAACAAGGGAUUAAUGAUUUGAAACUUCAAUGGACCAGUGAUGCUUGCAGGUCUGUUGAGGAUAUGGAAGUGAUGGCAAGUCUUGUGCCACCAAGCACCUUGAGGGAAUUUAAUAUGACAGGCUACAAUAAUGUGAGCUUUCCGCCCUGGCUUAUGAACAUAAAGCUUUAUCUACCGGAACUUAGCAAGAUUGAACUGUGGCAUAUAUGUAAAUGCAACAGCUUGCCUGCAUUAGGUCAAUUACAAAACCUUAGAGAGCUAAUUAUUGGAGAAAUGGACAGCAUUACGAUCAUCGAAGAGGAUUUUUGUGGUGGUGCAAGGGCCUUCCCUCAGCUGAAGAGAUUUUGUCUAUACCACAUGGAAAAUCUGGAAGCAUGGAAGACGAUGUACUCCAAUGGCAAGGAUGUUGAGAAAGAAUUCAUGUUCCCUAACCUUAAGGAGCUGUCAAUAAAUGAUUGCCCAAAGUUGAGAAUGGAACCAUGCCUUCCUAGAGCAAAGAAAUGGGAGAUAGAGAACAGCAAUAAUGUAUUAUCAUUAUGGGGAGAAACUCGUGCUACCUCCUCUGUUGCACCUAUGGAUGUGAGUGUAACAGUCAGAUCUGACAAAGCGCCUUUGGAUCAGUGGAAGUUCUUUCACGACCUCCCUUCCCUGAGUACUUUACACAUCACAUGUUGCACUGAUCCGACAUGCAGCUCCAAUAUGCUAAGCCAAUUCCUGUUCAACAUCAUGUCACGGUGGUACACAAAUUCUAAUGAUUUGUACAUAACUAAUCUGAUGAAAAGACAAGUUAUCAACGAUUUGAAACUACAGUGGACUAGAGAUGCUGGGCGUUCUGUGGAGGAUGUGGAAGUACUGGGAAAGCUUGUGCCACCAAGUAGUUUGAGGGAAUUUAAUAUGACAGGUUACAACAGUGUGAGGUUUCCUGCCUGGGUUAUGGACAUUACGCUUUAUCUCCCAAGUCUUAGCAAGAUUGAAUUGUGGGAUAUACGCAAAUGCAACAGCUUACCACCACUUGGCCAAUUAACAAACUUGCAAGAGCUAGUUAUAGGUGUAAUGGAUAGCAUUACGACAAUUGAUGGGGAUUUUUGUGGCGGUGCAAGAGCCUUCCCUGAAUUGAGGAAAUUUUGCUUAUGCCGUAUGGGAAACCUCAAGUUGUGGGAGACAAUGUACUCCUAUGACAUGGGUAGUGUGAAGAAAUUCAUGUUCCCAAACCUUGUGGAAUUGUUAAUACGUGAUUGCCCAAAUUUAAGACUGAAACCAUGCCCACCUAGAGCUAAAAGAUUGGAAAUAGAGAGCAGCGAUAAUGUAUUAUCAUCGUGGGGAGAGUGGGGAGCAUCCAGUGUGUCCUCUGUUUCACU